Molecule: ribosomal RNA, 468 nt
Filed under: uncultured bacterium
Lineage: Bacteria
Description: partial 16S ribosomal RNA
Rfam family: Bacterial small subunit ribosomal RNA
Source: RNAcentral
GACGAACGCUGGCGGCGUGCUUAACACAUGCAAGUCGAACGGAAAGGCCCUGCUUUUGUGGGGUGCUCGAGUGGCGAACGGGUGAGUAACACGUGAGUAACCUGCCCUUGACUUUGGGAUAACUUCAGGAAACUGGGGCUAAUACCGGAUAGGAGCUCCUGCUGCAUGGUGGGGGUUGGAAAGUUUCGGCGGUUGGGGAUGGACUCGCGGCUUAUCAGCUUGUUGGUGGGGUAGUGGCUUACCAAGGCUUUGACGGGUAGCCGGCCUGAGAGGGUGGCCGGCCAAGUUGGGACUGAGAUACGGCACAGACUCAUACGGGAGGCAGCGGUGGAGAAGAUUGCACAAUGGGAGGAGGCCUGAUGCGGCGACGCCGCGUGCGGGAUGACGGCAUUCGGGUAGUAAACCGCUUUCGCCUGUGACGAAGCGUGAGUGACGGUAAUGGGUAAAGAAGCACCGGCUAACUACGUG